GCAGGUGGUGAAAGCAGUAGGGCCCAGGCACUGGGAGGCCUAAAGUCCCUCCCUUCUGAUUAAAUCCCAUUUUUCCAGGUCUCUGCUCUGUGCCAGGCGGCAGCCAACUGAACUGAUAAGCUGGUGGAUCAAUGCUUUGCUCCUUUCUGUGUCCCAGCUCUGCAGUUCCACGUGGCCUUCUGGAGGUGCACGGGACUAGGACACCGCAUUGGUGAUGUGUGCCAUUCCCACUGCAUUGCAUCAGGGUCUGCAUGGGGUCAGUUUGUGAAGGGUGUAGACUUCCAUGAGUUAUGUGCUUGAAAUUGUCCCAGAUGGGGGAUAACCCUGAAUCGUUUCACCUGCUCAGCCCAGAUGUGGCCAAGCCAAUAACGAUGGGAAGUUCUCUGGUUUAUGUUCUGGCAAAUGUCGACAAAGCAAAACAAAACACAGCAAAACUCCACUUCCGAGGCAUCCAAAGAGGGGAAAGGGAAAGAGGUUUCAGAACACGGAACGCUCAGCCAUCGGAGUUCCAUCUAAUGGUUAUGCUUCACGAAGAAGUGAGGACACGUGCCUGCAGCCCAGGACAGGGUCGUGCGUGCCCAAGAGCAGAACAACGCACUCGGACUUGUGGCUGCGAGUCUGUGCAGCUGGGGCCAGGCCAUCUUGGACCCUGAGGCAAAAGGAAAAUUCAGCAAAGGUGAUUUCCAUUUUUAUUUAAAAUUUCGAUGGUUUGUUCGUCAUGGAUUCUUUUGCAUUCAUUAUUUUUUAACAUUUUUAUUGGAGUAUAAUUGCUUUACAGUGUUGUGUUAGUUUCUGCUAUAUAUCAAAGUGAAUCAGCUAUACGUAUACAUAUAUCCCCAUAUCCCCUCUCUCUUGCGUCUCCCUCCCCCCCUCCCUAUCCCACCGCUCUAGGUGGUCACAGAGCACCGAGCUGAUCUCGCUGUGCUAUGCGGCUGCUUCCCACUAGCUAUCUAUUUUACAUUUGGUAGUGUAUAUAUGUCCAUGCCUCUCUCUCACUUUGUCCCUGCUUCCCCUUCCCCCUCCCCAUGUCCUCAAGUCCAUUCUCUAAGUCUGCAUCUUUAUUCCUGUUCUGCCCCUACGUUCUUCAGAACAUUUUUUUUUUUAGAUUCCAUAUAUAUGUGUUAGCAUACGGUAUUUGUUUUUCUCUUUCUGACUUACUUCACUCUGUAUGACAGACUCUAGGUCCAUCCACCUCACUACAAAUAACUCAAUUUCGUUUCUUUUUAUGGCUGAGUAAUAUUCCAUUGUAUAUAUGUGCCACAUCUUCUUUAUCCAUUCAUCUGUCGAUGGACACGUAGGUUGCUUCCAUGUCCUGGCUAUUAUAAACAGAGCUGCAAUGAAUAUUGUGGUACACGACUUUUUGAAUUACGGUUUUCUCAGGGUAUAUGCCCAGGAGUGGGAUUGCUGGGUCGUAUGGUAGUUCUAUUUUUAUUUUUUUAAGGAACCUCCAUACUGUUCUCCAUAGUGGCUGUAUCAAUUUACAUUCCCGCCAACAGUGCAAGAGGGUUCCCUUUUCUCCACACCCUCUCUAGCAUUUCUUGUUUGUAGACUUUUUCAUGAUGGCCAUUCUGACCGGUGUGAGGUGAUACCUCAUUGUAGUUUUGAUUUGCAUUUCUCUAACGAUUAGUGACGUUGAACAUCUUUUAAUGUGUUUGUUGGCAAUCUGUAUAUCUUCUUUGAGAAAAUGUCUAUUUAGGUCUUCUGCCCAUUUUUGGAUUGGGUUGUGUUUUGUUUGUUUUUUUGAUAUUGAGCUGCAUGAGCUGCUUGUAUAUUUUGGAGAUUAAUCCUUUGUCAGUUGCUUUGUUUGUAAAUUCCAUGUCCUCCUAGUAUGCCAUCUUGACUCUGCCCCCUGCAUUAAUUUUUAUUUUGAUGAUGUCUCAUUAAUUGGAGUUUUUUGGGGUCUCCUUAAAGUUUGCAUCUGAGAUGGUUGCCUCUCCCUCACCCUAGUCCGGCUUUGAGUUUGUGUACGAUUCUCAGAUGGCAACAAGCCUGGAAGCUUGGGUUACUACCAAGGUCCAGGUGAUGACGGGUAAUGAUGUGGUGGGAUGGGUAAUCCUUGUACCUGUACCAGCUUCACUUACCCAGCGCUUUGUCCCUGCUGGGCACUACUGAUGCCUCUUCUCGCCCUGGAAGCUCCAGGGGCAUGGACAUUAUCUGGUUUAUUCACAUUGUAGUCUCCAAAACAAGGACAGUCCCUAGAACCUUGUAGGUAUCCAAUGAAUAUUCGUUGAAACAACCCUAUGAGGUUAGUGCUGUCAUUAUCCUUAUUUUACAAGUGGGGAAACUAAGGUUUUGGAGGAAUUCGCUAAUGGCCCCAAUUCAUGCAGCCAGUGAGUGGUGAAUCCUGCUCUGUCCCCUCUAAAUCCUGUGCUGUCCCCAGGCCACUGCUCUAAUUCCUUCUAUGGUCACAUAAAGCUGGGGAUUCUGCCCUUUGAAGUUUCCCACUGACCAUAGUUGUUGAUGGUCAUUGCUUCUUGGAAAAUCAAAUAAAAUAUGUCUGUGAUUGGAUGCAUUUGCGUAUAUGUUUGUCUGUUUAAGCCUCAUGGAACAUGGACAUUUCAAACUCUCUGGUAGCUACCCAUCCUCCCAUUUUUUUUUUGAGAAAUGUUUUCAAACCUGAGCUAUUCAACCUGCCUGUUAUCAGGGGCAAAAAUGUUAAAAACACUUCGUGAGACACAGGUGUGCUACUGCUUCCCACCUGUUGGAUAACCAGGAGCUUCUGA
Long non-coding RNA from Orcinus orca (killer whale), 2723 nucleotides. RefSeq lists it as uncharacterized. Lineage: Eukaryota; Metazoa; Chordata; Mammalia; Artiodactyla; Delphinidae. The transcript is spliced from 3 exons. The record is from RefSeq and is a predicted model, not a curated record.